UUUUUUUAUUUUAAUAAGGGUUUUUUAGGAUUUAGUGUUUAGGGUUUAAAAAUACUACUCAAAACUUAAAAAAUAUUUAUUUUUUUUUUUUUUCAAAUAUAUCCAUGUUCUCCUGUUAUUCAAAAAUAUUUCUGUAGUUACCAUUCGUUAAGUUAAUUUAAAUUAAAUAUGAGUUAAAUAUCUAUCAGAGUUUAAAAAAAAAUAAUUUUUUUUUCAUGCUUUUUGUAGAAACCAAACAACCUCUAAACCGGCACUUAAA
Molecule: long non-coding RNA, 259 nt
Filed under: Ananas comosus (pineapple)
Lineage: Eukaryota; Viridiplantae; Streptophyta; Magnoliopsida; Poales; Bromeliaceae
Description: long non-coding RNA (ACOM_LNC024939)
Source: RNAcentral